This is a long non-coding RNA of Oryzias latipes (Japanese medaka), 1436 nucleotides long. RefSeq lists it as uncharacterized. The record is from RefSeq and is a predicted model, not a curated record. NCBI's taxonomy places the organism in Eukaryota, Metazoa, Chordata, Actinopteri, Beloniformes, Adrianichthyidae.
AGUCCUUCCGUGUUGUUCCGAUUUUUUCCGAGCUCGCGCGCAGGCCCCACGACAGAACUGCGCGUUCUCUUCGCUUCUUGCUCAUUUUUCUCAGCUCCAGACCGCGUUUCCACCAUGGUGGACGUCAUGCUGCUGAUGUUCUUCGCCAUCAUGGGCCUCGUCUUCCUCUCCUACAUCAUCUACAUGCUGUGAGGAGGCGCACCAGCGGCUGCACAGGAGAAGCAGCACCCGCUCCUCCUGCAUUCCGUUUCCAUCAUGAUGCAAGGAUCAGAUUCAAGCCAUGAUGACACAAAUCCCAGUCCUCAGAUGGGAACUAAAGGGGGUUCAGAGGAAGUCCAACCCUCCUCAUCAUCACUGCCCUUCUCUCUUUCAUCAGCCUGAAUAUGAACCCUCCAACAGAACUCCGCGCUACAACUGAACAGUAUUCUGUCCUGGCUGCUUGUAUGGAAGUUGGGCGUUUUUUUCUUUAUUUUUUGUAGUUUACAAUUCCUUUAGCCAGAUGUGAAAGACAAUAAUAUUUUGUUGAUGUGCAAUAUUCUGACUCCAAAUAAUCCUACUUCAUUCAAGCGACAGAUUUCUUUUGGCCUUUAUGUAUUGUAGUUGUCAUUUUGCUGCAAAGUCAUCAUAAAAUAUUAGACAUUGGAGGCCCACUCCAAUCAUCUUUUGAUCUUACAAAAGUGUUCCCCGUGGUCUUUCAAUUAUUAUGAAGUUUUUAGCCAAAAUAAAAAAAUAAUUGUCAUUUUCUAGGACAUAGUUUCUGUAGGGUGGCAGGAGUUCAUUCGAAGUUGCUGUCUGAGUUGGUGUGGAGAAACCCCACCCCCCUUUCCCGUCACCCUAGCUUAUGCCAGCUCAGGCGAGGGCAACGAUGACAAACUCUUUGUCCACUAGUGGAUCCAUCAGAAUGGAGCAGAGCAGGGAGAUUGUGGCCUGACCCCGGUGUAUUUUCCACAUCACAAAUACGCUCUUUUUCAAAAGGCUUUUUUUUGUCUGCUCCUGCUUCACAACAAUUUGAAUAAAGAAACACUCAGAAAUGCAAUUUUAAGCUUAAUUUUUUCCAUCCAUGUUCUCAAUCAUCACAAAAAAACUCCACAACAUGUCAAAAACACCCAAAACACAACUUUCAUUAGAGUUGGUCUUUAGUAUUACAGCUUUAUGUAUACAAAAUAUCUUUGAUAUGUCAGUUCAACUACAAAUAAAUAAAAUCUGUUUUUACGUUUCUUUGCACUUAAAAUGAACUGAAAAUAUUUCACACUCUGCCACAAAAUAUACUUAAUGAGCCAUUUUGGUUUUGACUUGGUUUUUUUUGUACUGUAAAAUAAAGCUUUAUUUACAAAAAUCUGUGGCACAGAAAGACUGAGUUUUGCAUGUAACUGUCCGCUGCAGAUGUAUAGUCCAGUUCGUGUAAACCUUUAUUAAACAGACUCUUAAGUAUGACA